GACGAACGCUGGCGGCGUGCCUAAUACAUGCAAGUCGAGCGGAAGUUGGAGAGCUUGCUCUUCAACUUUAGCGGCGGACGGGUGAGUAACACGUGGGCAACCUGCACUGCAGAUCGGGAUAACUCCGGGAAACCGGUGCUAAUACCGAAUAGUUUUCGCCACCUCCUGGUGGCGUACGGAAAGACGGUUUCGGCUGUCACUGCAGGAUGGGCCCGCGGCGCAUUAGCUAGUUGGUGGGGUAACGGCCCACCAAGGCGACGAUGCGUAGCCGACGUGAGAGGGUGAUCGGCCACACUGGGACUGAGACACGGCCCAAACUCCUACGGGAGGCAGCAGUAGGGAAUCUUCCGCAAUGGACGAAAGUCUGACGGAGCAACGCCGCGUGAGUGACGAAGGUUUUCGGAUCGUAAACCUCUGUUGUGAGGGAAGAACAAGUACCAACUAACUACUGGUACCUUGACGGUACCUCACCAGAAAGCCACGGCUAACUACGUGCCAGCAGCCGCCGUAA
RNAcentral lists this ribosomal RNA (511 nucleotides) under uncultured bacterium. RNAcentral describes it as "partial 16S ribosomal RNA". It matches the Rfam family "Bacterial small subunit ribosomal RNA", at positions 28 to 523 of the family's 1533-position model. The record is from RNAcentral.